UAUGUAUAUACACACACACACACAUUUAUGUAUAUAUACACACACACGCACAUGCACACACACACACACAUCAUUACCCUGGCACUAGUUUUCAUUAAUAUAAAUCACCAGGAAGUAGAAUAAGAGUCCCAUAUCUUCCAUAGUGGCUAACUCAUUUUAGUCUCUGGUAGAGAACAAGGUAGCCAAAGGUAUCAGCCCUGGGUAGAUGCUGAAUGGGUGAUGAUUCAGAGGACCAGAACAUGAUGCCCCUUACAGUUUGAUCUGAAGGUCAACAUAGUGAGCAGGCUCAAGAUCCAGAGCCAGCCUUUGCAUCUGAACAUUUCACGAAUUUAGAAAAACUAAAGCAUAGUGGAAAAAGCCAAGGCCAUCCAUCAUUUGAAUAACGAGAAGUUCCAGAUGUGCCCAGAUGUCAGGCUAGCCAAAUGAAAUGGGACCCAGGGGGGCUCUGAGGUUUUCUGCCAGCUGCGUUUCAAAGCACGAAACAGGCAUUCUCCAUGAUUGACUACACAGAGCCACAGUGAAGGUUCUUAGAAGAAAAAUGAGGGAACAAAUUGGAAGUCGAAUGGGUAAAUAGCCUGCUCCAAAUUGCAUGGCGUCAAUAAGUUAUGACUGCAGCAAACCUAUUCAAGAUAAUUGCUGUUGUAUACCUACUUCCCCAGGACUGGAGAUGCAAAAUAUGACAGGCAAGGGCCUGGUGUACAUUUGAGAUUGCUGUGGAAUUUUGCAUUUAUCUGAUUAUAUGCUGGCACGGAGCUUUAAAGCCAUCAAACACCGCCUGUCCCCAAUAGCCUGGGCAUUCCCAUUUCAUCUGCUAUAUUAUUUCCCUCUGUUCACAUUGUGCAUGUGUGGGGGGGUUGGAGAUUGGAGAUUAAAAGAAAAAAAUUAAAACAGCCGUA
Myodes glareolus (Bank vole) is the source of this 896-nucleotide non-coding RNA. The record is from RefSeq and is a predicted model, not a curated record. NCBI's taxonomy places the organism in Eukaryota, Metazoa, Chordata, Mammalia, Rodentia, Cricetidae.